This 2107-nucleotide ribosomal RNA is filed under the name Chelonia mydas (Green sea turtle). Its description in RNAcentral is "Eukaryotic small subunit ribosomal RNA". It matches the Rfam family "Eukaryotic small subunit ribosomal RNA". The record is from Rfam by way of RNAcentral. Lineage: Eukaryota; Metazoa; Chordata; Testudines; Cheloniidae.
UACCUGGUUGUUCCUGUCAAUAGCAUAUGGUUGGCUCAAAGAUUAAGCCAGGUAUGUCUAAGUACACAUGGCCAGUACCCUGAAACUGUGAAUGGCUCAUUAAAUCAGUUACGGUUCCUUCGGUCACUGUACCCAUUACCUGGAGAACGGUGGUAAUUCCAGACAUGCCAAUGAGCUCUGACCUCAGGUGACGUAUGCAUUUAUCAGACCAAAACCAACCCACUCAUCUGCUUUCGUGAUUCUAGAUAAGCCUGGGCUACGCACACGACCCUGUGCUGAGAUGGUGCAACAAUGUCUGUCCUACCAACUUUUGAUGGUAUUUCAUGUAGCUAAGAUGGUGACCACGGGUAACAGGACAUCAGGGUUCAAUUCCAGAGACAGAGCCUGGGAAACAGCUACCGCAUCUGAGGAAGGCAGCAGGCAUCCACAUUACCCACUCUCAAGCUGGGGAGGUAGUUAUUGAAAAAUAGCAGUACGGGACUCUUUUGAGGCCCGGCGAUUGGAAUGAGUGCACUUUAAAGCCUUUAACGAGAUUCCACUGGAGCGUAAGUCUGGUGCCAGCAGCUGUGGUAAUUCCAGCUCAAACAGGGUACAUUGAAAUUGCUGCAAUUAAAAAGCUUGUCGUUGGAUAUUGGCAUAGGCAUCAAGUUCCUCUCUACCCAGGGGUGCUCGACACCCCCCACCCAAAGCCUGCCCCCACUUCACUCCUUCUUCCAAGCUCCCACCCCUGCCUGCCACUUCCUCCUGCCCUGCCUCUACCUGCCCCCGCCUGCCCCGUGGGUGGAAGGCAGUGGGAGGGAGGGGGAGGAGCUGAUCAGCAGGGCCGCUAGCGGGCGGGCGGACGGACGGCACUGGCAGGGGCAAGCCUGGCUGCUCCUGGGUGCUAAGCCCUGGAGCACCCACAGAGUCGGCCUGUAUGGAUCUUGGGAUCAACCUUGCAGUCUGCAGUGAGGUGAGCUUCUGCUUCUGCCAGCCCCUGCCUCUCAGUGCUCCCUCGCUACUCUUACCUGAGUGUCCUGGGGGUCUGAGGCAUUUACUUUGAAAAAAUUACAGUGUUCAGAGCAAGCCAGUAGCCAGAAUACCCCAGCUAGGGAUAACGGAGCAGGACUUCAGUUCUAUUGUGCUAGGUUUUGGACGGGGGCCAUAGCUAGCGGGCGGGCGGACGGACGGCACUGGCAGGGGCAAGCCUGGCUGCUCCUGGGUGCUAAGCCCUGGAGCACCCACAGAGUCGGCCUGUAUGGAUCUUGGGAUCAACCUUGCAGUCUGCAGUGAGGUGAGCUUCUGCUUCUGCCAGCCCCUGCCUCUCAGUGCUCCCUCGCUACUCUUACCUGAGUGUCCUGGGGGGCUGAGUGGCAUUAUUCCAAUGACCUACCGGGCAGCUUAUGGGAAGCCCGAGUCUUUGGGUUCUGGGGAAAGGAUGGUUGCAAAGCUGAAACUUAAAGUAAAUGAUCAAAGGACACCACCAGGAGUGCAGCCUACAGCCUAAUUUGACUCAUCACAGGAAACCUCCCCGAAUCCAGAGCUGGAAAGGAUUGUCAGAUUAAUAGCUCUUUCUUGUUCCAGCAGGUGCUGGUGGAUGGCUGUUCUUAGUUGGUGGAGUGACUUGGCUGGUUAAUUCGGAUAAUGAACGAGACUCUGGCAUGCUAACUAGUUCUGCGAUCUCUGAGCAGCCAGCUUCCAACUUCUGAGUGGGACAAGUGGGGUUCAGCCACCCAAGGCUGAGCAAUAUCAGGUCUGGGAUGCCCUUAGCUGUCCCAGGUUGCAUGCGCACCACAGAGGCUAGCCUAGGCUGUGUCUACCCUAGGCUGAAAGGUGUAGGUAACUUACUGAACUGCGUUCACGAUGGGGAUUGGGGAUUGCAAUUAUUCCCCAUGAAUGAGGCAUUCCUGGUAGGUGCAGAUCAUAAGCUAGUGUUACGUCCCUGCUCGUUGUACACACCACUCGUCACUGCUACCGACUGAAGGGUUUAGUAAGGUCCUUGGAUCGACCCUGCUGGGCUUGGUUAAUGGCCCUGGCGGAGCGCCGAGAAGACGGUCGAACUUGACUAUCUAGAGGAAGUAAAAGUCAUUAAAAUGUUUCCAAAGGUGAAGCUGCAGCAGGAUGAUUC